This 4818-nucleotide long non-coding RNA is filed under the name Homo sapiens (human). RNAcentral's name for it is "HSALNT0100778". Lineage: Eukaryota; Metazoa; Chordata; Mammalia; Primates; Hominidae. The record is from RNAcentral.
AUUACCAAACUUGCAGAUGGAGGUAGGAGGAACAGAGGGUUUGUUGAUGGAUGGACUCAGGAUUUACAACUAUCUUUAUAGGUUCAGGCCUAUAAAGAGGCCUCAUCAACUGGAGAAGGAGCAGAAGCCUGGAAGCAACCCAAGUGUCGUCUUUAGAGGACUGGGUAAUCCGUGAACAUCCCACACAUGAAUACUACACAGCAGGGCAAAGGAGCAGGGCUGCUGUCUGUGCACAGACCUGGCAAGCUUUCCAGAAAAUGCCGUGAAGAGACAAAAGCAAAAAGCAUUGAAGUCUACCAGACUACAGUUCAGAGAUGCUUCCUUAUGAGUCACUUAAGUGCCUGUGUGAUUUCACUGUAGACUGAGGAGGCUGGUCCCAUCACCAGCGCCCUUGACCUCCACAGCUGCUGUUGGAUCUAAGAUGGCCUCAUCCACAUGUCUGCCAGCGGGGGCUCCUCAGUUCUUCUCUGGGAAGUGUCUCCUUCUCCCAAAGCCACAUGCACCUUAUCACAACAUGGCAGCCUCAGGGUUUCAAGAGGGAGAGAGAGGAAGCUUCAAGAUUGCUUAAGGACUAGGCUCUGUAAUUUAUACAACGCCACUUCUGUCAAAUUCUACUGGCCAAACUGGAUUCAAGGGUGAGGAACUAGACCCCACAUCUUGAUGGAAGAAUAGACAGUGUCAUUGACAUUGCAAAGGGCUUUAAAACAAGGAGGCGUGAUUCAUUGGAGGACCAUUAUUAAAAACAAUCUGCCGCAUCAGUGGCUGGAAUAUGGACACGAUGCUAUUAAGUAGAAUUUAAGCAGCUGUCUUGGACAAGCUCUGGAGGCCCUGUGCUAAGAAAAUUGGAGAAACAACUUGGAAAGAGUCCCUGACACUUUGUGAAGCCUCCUUAUGAACCAUGGACUGUCUACCUCCAGUGUGGUUUCAUUUGAGAGGUCGAUAAAUGCCUGUAUUGUUUAGGCCACUGUCAUUUUGGACCUUCUGUCACUUGCAGCCAAAUCUAAUCCUAACUUACAUGCUUUCCAAUACUCACCCUCUUACAUUUUCAGCUCUACUUACCAGCCGAGGCUACCACCACACAGAGUGUACUGCAGUUUCAGGCUUGGAGAGGAAGGGAGGAAGCCUAACCCUCGGGAGACCCCGUCAUGUUUUGAUGUCAUUGCAUGUCCCAUUUGGCCAGCCCGGAAAAAAUAAAAUGAGGAAGAAUGGCCCACAAACAACCUGGACAGAUAGAAGGCUGCUUUUAAAGAAGCUCACAGACACAGCUGAUUGAUUCUGCGACCUUGCUUUGUUACUCAUCUCUGAGUUUAGAGGCUUCACUGCCAGGGACCUUGUCCAGAGUUUCUGAGACCUCCAACAGCCUGUGGUCUCCUGGUCACUCAGACCCUACUGGUGGCUUCAGAUGCUGGAUCUUGCUGAUGUUUGAAUUAGCUCUCUGUGAAGGGCAUGCUGGUGAGGCCACAUACCAGGAAACCAUGACAAACAACAGAAUUACAGUCUGGUUAAAAAAGAAAAUAUACAUAUGCACAUAUGUAUAUUCCCCUACCCCAGGGGUUGAGACUUUUUUUGGCAUAAAUUUACAUAUAUUUUGGCACAAAUUUGCAUAGAGGUACACGAGAACCUCUCAUUUACAGCACUAAAAUUUGUAUUGUUCCCCUUAGACCCUUGUCACUGGCUGUUACUAAUGUACUGAGUUUCACCAGUUUGUCCUCCAUUUCCUAGAAUUUGUUCUAAUUUUUAGGAAAUGCUUACUAAAUAUCACCAUUGUGUGUGGUGAAAUCCAGCCCUAGAGGACAUCAAAAGGUCUCUUGUUAGCUGGUAGCUAUUGUUAGGUAUUAUCUGUAGAGACAUCGGGUUUCCUGGAAACAUCCCAUAGAGCUGUCCAAAAGUAUUAAUUAUUAAAUUGGGCCUUUAACUGUAUUUAUAGAAAUUAUAAUAUUACGUUUAUAUGUAUAGAAAAGAGAUUAUAUCUAAGCCUUAUAUCUGUAUAAAAAAAGGAUUUUACCAAAAGUACUGGAAGGUGCAUUAUAGUUACUCUCAAAUGUAAUAUUAGGGAUUUAUAUUUACAUAUAUUUGAGACAGGGUCUCACUCUGCCCAGGCUGGAGUGCAGUGGUGUGAUCUCUCGCCUCACUGCAGCCUCCACCUCCUGGGCUCAGGUGAUCCUCCCACCUCAGCCUCCCAAGUAGCUGGGAUUACAGGCACACUCCACCAUGCCUGGCUAAUUUUUUAUAUUUUUUGUAGAGACAGGGUUUUGCCAUGUUGCCCAGGCUGAUCUCAAACACGUCGGCUCAAGUGAUCCUUCCACCUAGGCCUCUCAAAGUGCUAGGAGUACAAGCAUGAGCCACCAUGCCCAGCCAAUAUUAGAUAUUAAUCAUUGUUCAAGAACAAUGUUAUCAAACCUACCUGUGAGCUGGGGCAAGUUGUGUCACUCCCCUGGAGCCUCAGUUUCUUCCUCUGGAAACUGAGGGAAACUACACCAAAUCUGAGUGUUUCCCUAAUCUCAGGCAGCUGACGUCCCCUUUAGAAUUUUUGCCAUCUUCUCAUGUCAUUUAUACUAUUUCUUCAUAUUUUUCUGGAAUUUAAUAACUUUUCAACUUAAACUGGCAUGAUCUACCUUAGCCUAGUCCCAAGCAAAAAUCUCUGUGAAACUACGUGUUCGCUGUACUCUUUUUUCUUGCAUAUUAAAAUAAAUGCAUGACUCUUAAAAUGUUUUUAAGGUGCUCGUUUGUAUUCACUUGAAAUUUUCUCAGGUCCUGCUGCACUUUGAGAAUGUGAUACAAAAAGCUUCAGUGGUGUGCACGAGGAGCUUGGUAUAAGGCCCAGCCCUAGCAGUCAUAAAUGGUAGCUGAGGCAGAAACAGCUAGGUUCCUACCUCAACAUUCUCCUUUCAAUACAGUAACGUGCUGACUUUCAGUUGGGCACACAACCGAAACCAUUUCCCAGGAUUCUUCGCAGCUAGAUAGAACCAUGUAACUUUAUAAUAUAAAUGUAAACAUAAUAUUUUGGACUAUGCUUGGACUAAACAAAACAUUUAGUAAAGCUGGGCAUGGUGGGGUGUGCCUGUAGUCCCAGAUACUCUGGAGGUUGACAGGGCAGGAGGAUCGCUUGAACCCAGGAGUUUGAGGCUGCAGUGAGCUAUGAUCUAUGAUCACGCCACUGCUCUCCAGCCUAAACAACGUAGUGGGACCUUGUCUCUAAAAAAAGAAAAUACAUUUAAAAAUAUAUUUGGUGAGGUUUCUGAGUAUCCCCCUUACGAAAGAGAAGGCAUGUACUUCUGCAACUUCCUCCAUUCUGCUUACUCAAACUUGAAUGGGAGGGCAGCUAUUUCAAACCAUAAAGAUGAGGGCUGUCCCCUAGGGAUGGUAGAACUAAGAGCCAGAAAAGACUAAGUUCUCGAUAAUCAUUUGGAACUGCAAUAGUGGUCCUGGACUACCUAUCUCUAGACUUCUUUUACAUAGGGAGAAAUAUACUUCUCUGUGAAGCCACAACCUUUUAGGAUUUUCUGUCACUUGCAGGUGAAUAUAAAUCUGUUGGAUACAAUAUUGUGUGCAUGGUAGGUGGGCCGUCAGUGGUGAGCCGGGGCUGCCAUUCAGGUAAGAACUGACUGUUAAAUUUUCAUGAAUUUUGCAUGCUGGUGAAUGUCACGUUGGUAGCCUGAAAUUGGCCAUGGUGGGAGUAUUUACACCACAGGAAUUGGCAAAUGCUACAUACACAUCAGGGCUUUAUUUCCUCCAAGAGAUCUGGUUAUUGACUACUUACCAUCUACCACCACAUCACUGUGGGAUUAAGGAUUUUAUCCACUAAAGUUUGUUCAUAUAGAGAGGUGAUCUGACCUCUUCAUUUACCCUCAAUUUGUUCAAAUUCUAAGUCAUGGACUAUAUCGGACCUAGACUUCCAUAUUGUCUAAUUCUGAUCUUGAAUGGAGGAAGCUUGAAUGUUGCUUAUAGGUCUGCUGUGGUCAGUGCUCAAGAGGUCAAUAGUAAAAGAGCCUGCUCAUCCCUCGCUGUGGGGAUAAUGAUUAGAAGGGAUGGGAAAUUAGCAUUCUGACUUUGCCAUCGGGUGUGAGAAGCACUGAAGCUCACAUACAAAUAAUUAACUUGCCAACCAGUUUUUCUUUUUCCUUUUAAAAGGUGGAAGCAGAUAAGUUGGGAAUAGAUACGCCCACAUUCAGAAUUUACUGCUACAGCACAAUUAAUUAUAUUUAAACAACAUAUGCUGCAUAUUGAUUAAGCACAAAUGUAAACCCUUCAUAUAAAUUAAGCUAAUGAAUUUAACUUUUCCAUAGUCAGAUCUUAUCUUUAGUGAUUCUUUUUCAUAUAUUUCUAUAGGUAUAAAGUUGUCAGGUAUAAUCACUGUCAAAUGGUUAACCAUUUGCUUUGAUAUCCUUUCUGUUCAGUUAGUGUUCAUGCGUGGUUUCACCUCAACCCAGGGAGACAGUCUCACACUUUAGGGGAUGGAUUAGUGUACCUUCAUGGGACAGCAGAGGCUUUUGCAUAGACGAGUUCUGUUGAAACUCUGGUUUCUCUAUGCUUACAGCUGCCUAACCUUACAGUAACUUAUUUAACUACUGUAUCAGUUAUCCAUUGCUGCAUAACAAAUGAUCUCAAAACUUAGUGACUUCAAACAACAAUUUAUUAUUUCUCAUGAUUCUGGGGCUUGACUGACUGAUUUUUCUGCUGGUCUUGCCUGGGCUCACCCAGGUCCCUGCAUUCAGCUAGUGUCUGGGAUGGAACUGUUAACCACAGAGUCUUGGUUUCUUCCCACGUGCCUUUUCUUUUCUUUUCUCUUUUUUUAGAGGGAGUCUCGUUCUGUCGCCC